Molecule: ribosomal RNA, 234 nt
Filed under: uncultured bacterium
Lineage: Bacteria
Description: partial 16S ribosomal RNA
Source: RNAcentral
UUGUUAUAACCGCAACUCUUCACCCCCUGUACACAAAUACCUACGUGGGGUAAGGCCCCUCCAUGGGGUUAAGCUCCCGACUUGUGGUAAACCCCCUCCCGUGGUGAGACGGGCGGUGUGUACAAAACCGGGAAACGUAUUCACCGCGACAUGCAUAUCCGCCCUUACUAGAAAUUCCAACUUCGUGUAGUCGAGUUGCAGACUAUAUCCAGACUACGAUACACUUUGCGGGAU